RNAcentral lists this ribosomal RNA (427 nucleotides) under Siphonaria sp. UF 301336. Its description in RNAcentral is "partial 16S ribosomal RNA". It matches the Rfam family "Bacterial large subunit ribosomal RNA", at positions 1887 to 2596 of the family's 2925-position model. RNAcentral also lists the same sequence under 1 other name. Lineage: Eukaryota; Metazoa; Mollusca; Gastropoda; Siphonariida; Siphonariidae. The record is from RNAcentral.
AGUCUAUGGUCUGCUUCAUAGAUACCUUCUGCCCACUGUAAUAUAAAUGGCCGCAGAACUUUAACUGUGCUAAGGUAGCGUAAUAGUUUGUCCUUUAAAUGAGGACUGUAUGAAAGGCAACACGUGGCUUUACUGUCUCUCUACGAAUACUUGGAAGUUGAUUAGUGGGUGAAAAUACCCACAAAAAGAAAGAGGACGAGAAGACCCUGAGAGCUUUCACGAAAAGGUGCUUAGCUCCUACUGUUUUUGUUGGGGCAACAAAGGAACACAGAACUUCCUUUUUGAAACCGGACCCCUAAUGGGUUAAAGAAAAAGCUACCUCAGGGAUAACAGCAUAAUUCUUUUUGAGCUUGUGACCUCGAUGUUGGACUAGGGAAAUAAAGGUUCAGAAGAUCUUUAUGUUUGCUCUGUUCGAGCAGGACCCCCU